This 253-nucleotide ribosomal RNA is filed under the name uncultured bacterium. RNAcentral describes it as "partial 16S ribosomal RNA". It matches the Rfam family "Bacterial small subunit ribosomal RNA", at positions 524 to 776 of the family's 1533-position model. The record is from RNAcentral.
UACGGGGGGGGCAAGCGUUGUUCGGAAUCACUGGGCGUAAAGGGUGCGUAGGCGGGUCUUUAAGUCAGGGGUGAAAUCCUGGAGCUCAACUCCAGAACUGCCUUUGAUACUGAGGAUCUUGAGCUCGGGAGAGGUGAGUGGAACUGCGAGUGUAGAGGUGAAAUUCGUAGAUAUUCGCAAGAACACCAGUGGCGAAGGCGGCUCACUGGCCCGAUACUGACGCUGAGGCACGAAAGCGUGGGGAGCAAACAGG